RNAcentral lists this ribosomal RNA (492 nucleotides) under uncultured bacterium. RNAcentral's name for it is "partial 16S ribosomal RNA". It matches the Rfam family "Bacterial small subunit ribosomal RNA", at positions 29 to 507 of the family's 1533-position model. The record is from RNAcentral.
AGUGAACGCUGGCGGUAGGCCUAAUACAUGCAAGUCGAACGGCAGCACAGUAAGAGCUUGCUCUUACGGGUGGCGAGUGGCGGACGGGUGAGGAAUACAUCGGAAUCUACUUUUUCGUGGGGGAUAACGUAGGGAAACUUACGCUAAUACCGCAUACGACCUACGGGUGAAAGCAGGGGAUCUUCGGACCUUGCGCGAUUGAAUGAGCCGAUGUCGGAUUAGCUAGUUGGCGGGGUAAAGGCCCACCAAGGCGACGAUCCGUAGUUGGUCUGAGAGGAUGAUCAGCCACACUGGAACUGAGACACGGUCCAGACUACUACGGGAGGCAGCAGUGGGGAAUAUUGGACAAUGGGCGCAAGCCUGAUCCAGCCAUACCGCGUGGGUGAAGAAGGCCUUCGGGUUGUAAAGCCCUUUUGUUGGGAAAGAAAAGCAGCAGGUUAAUACCCCGCUGUUCUGACGGUACCCAAAGAAUAAGCACCGGCUAACUUCGUG